This 468-nucleotide ribosomal RNA is filed under the name uncultured bacterium. RNAcentral's name for it is "partial 16S ribosomal RNA". It matches the Rfam family "Bacterial small subunit ribosomal RNA", at positions 28 to 507 of the family's 1533-position model. The record is from RNAcentral.
GACGAACGCUGGCGGCGUGCUUAACACAUGCAAGUCGAACGGAAAGGCCCUGCUUUUGUGGGGUGCUCGAGUGGCGAACGGGUGAGUAACACGUGAGUAACCUGCCCUUGACUUUGGGAUAACUUCAGGAAACUGGGGCUAAUACCGGAUAGGAGCUCCUGCGGCAUGGUGGGGGUUGGAAAGUUUCGGCGGUUGGGGAUGGACUCGCGGCUUAUCAGCUUGUUGGUGGGGUAGGGGCUUACCAAGGCUUUGACGGGUAGCCGGCCUGAGAGGGUGACCGGCCACAUUGGGACUGAGAUACGGCCCAGACUCCUACGGGAGGCAGCAGUGGGGAAUAUUGCACAAUGGGCGGAAGCCUGAUGCAGCAACGCCGCGUGCGGGAUGACGGCCUUCGGGUUGUAAACCGCUUUCGCCUGUGACGAAGCGUGAGUGACGGUAAUGGGUAAAAAAGCACCGGCUAACUACGUG